UUCACUUUUUGGCUUUUUGGCUAAAAUCAAGUGUACUAUCUGUUCUUAUUAGUCAAGGCAAAGUUUUAUUUUGUUUUAUUUUUUUAUUUUUUUGGUUUUUUUCAAGACAGGGUUUCUCUGUGUAGCCCUGGCUGUCCCGGAACUCACUUUGUAGACCAGGCCGGCCUUGAACUCAGAAAUCUGC
Mus pahari (shrew mouse) is the source of this 184-nucleotide small nuclear RNA. RefSeq annotates it as U2 spliceosomal RNA. The record is from RefSeq and is a predicted model, not a curated record. Lineage: Eukaryota; Metazoa; Chordata; Mammalia; Rodentia; Muridae. The transcript has a single exon.